GUUCUGGUGCUAUUCCUGGAUGUAGAAACAACCCAUACCAGAGCUAUGGGGCUGUUGACCCAUACAGCAGACGAAACCUUAAUGUCAAGAAUACUACGUUUGACCCUUAUAGGAGUACUGUGGUUGAAGCCUCCCCCGUUGGAACUAUGAGGCCGUCUUCAUUUACAUACAAUACUGCUGGAGGUCCUCAAAGUGUGCGGGCUCCCAUUGCACCCUCAUAUGGUCCUGGUGCUUGCCCUCCUUAUGGUUCACAUUAUGGAACUAAUCCUCGGCCAAUGUCUUCAUUCUCAACUCCCUCACCAAGACCCUCGAAUGGAAAUUUUCCAGGUGUUGUGCAGCAUCCUGAGGGAUAUAACCCUCCUUGUACAAGGUACUACUAAUUGGUGUGAAGUUUUUCUUUGCCAUUCUUCAGAGCUUCAGAAGAUAGAGAUUGCACUUAAAUCUCUCAAAAAUUAGAAAGCUUGAAGGACAAGUUGCAUCUCUGGAUUGUGUAAAUAUGGCCUUAAUGACACUUUUUUUUUUGUUUGUUG
RNAcentral lists this unclassified non-coding RNA (530 nucleotides) under Hevea brasiliensis (rubber tree). Lineage: Eukaryota; Viridiplantae; Streptophyta; Magnoliopsida; Malpighiales; Euphorbiaceae. The record is from RNAcentral.